Molecule: RNA transcript, 3882 nt
Organism: Amborella trichopoda
Lineage: Eukaryota; Viridiplantae; Streptophyta; Magnoliopsida; Amborellales; Amborellaceae
Gene name: Pre-mRNA-splicing factor 3
Source: RefSeq, a predicted model, not a curated record
UUCUCGUUUUCUCUUUGCUAUCUUUUCAUAUUACGUCCAAGAGGAGGUUAACCGCGUUUUCUGACAUGGUUUACAUUGUGUCGCGAGGGUUCUCUCUCUGUAAACCCGUUACUUUGAGCAGAACUCCCUCUCACGGAUAUUCUCUUUCGCUCUAAACCCAGUAAAAUCAGGGCUCUCUGUAAAUCAUUUUCUCUCGAGUUGUCAUCUCCUUCUCUUUCUAAAAACCCUAUUUCCUGGAAGUUUUCAUCUCCUCUCUCUCUCUAACCUAAACCUAAAGUUCAGUUUUCUAUUCGCUUCCCCUGAUUCAAAUUCCAAACCCGAGCUUCUAUUUCUCAGAUUUCCAUUGGAGCACUGAAACUAGGAAACCCUAAACCAUGACGUAUAGAGAGAGAGAGGGACACAGGGGAAGGGAUUCUUUAGAGAGAGACCACCGGGAGAGGCAUUCUUCAGAGAGAGAGCGCAGGGAAAGGUAUUCCUUGGAGAGGGACCAUCGGGAAGGCCACCAGGAGAGGGAGAGGGAGACAAAAAAGAGUAAGAUCGAGAGCCAUAGGGAGAAAGAGAGAGACAGACACCAUGAUCAAAAGUACCAUGAGAGCAGAGACUCUAGGGCACGAGAAGGAGAGAGACACAGAGAGAAAGAAGAUCGAAGAGAGAGAGAAUCCAAGGAAACUCAAAGGUACUCGGAGAGUAAAGAUGAUCGAAGAGAGAGAGAAUCAAAGGAACCUCAAAGGUACUCAGAGAAUAAAGAUGAUCGAAGAGAGAGAGAAUCAAAGGAUACUCUAAGGUAUUCUGAGGGUAAGGAUGAUCGAAGAGAGAGAGAAUCAAAGGAAACCUCGAGGUACUCAGAGAGUAAGGGUGUUCUUGAUAGAGAUGGAUCAGUAGAGAGAAGAUCACACAAGAGGAAAGACAAUGGAGGUGAAGAGAGAUUAGAGAAGAAUGACAAGCGGCGAAGGUUUGAAGAUCGAGUUGUAGAAGAAUCUAAGGGUUCGGAAUCAAAACACAUUGAAUUGGAGAAAAAGGAAGAUAGGAAGGUUAGGAAAGAAAAGCGAAGGUUUGAGGACCAAGUAGAUGAAGAAUCCGGGGUUUCAGCUAUAAAGUCAGAGAAGAAGGAUGAGAAAAUGGAGAGGAAAGAGAGAGGGAAGAAAGAGAGCGUUAAAGAUGAAGUGGAAGACGAAACUAGGGUAGUUGGGUCUUUAGAUAGAGGAAAUGGACAACACGAGCACGCUUCAAAAGUUCAGUCUGACGAGCCCAUUUUGGGUGGAGACAUGAACGAUAAAGUUCAGAGCUUGGCGACUUCAAACGGAGUUGGUUCUCUUAACAAUGGUCCUACAUGGGAAGCGCCGUCUUCUGUGGCAUCAAGGGCCGUUCAUGCUUCUGCUUCCUCUGGUUCUCCACUUGCUACAAAGGUAUCUUUGAUUUCUACCCCUCCUGAUGAUAAGGGCCUUAGUGUUACCAGAUCUCAUGAGGCUCCUGGAAAAUCCAGUACAGAUGGGACUACAACAGCAGCUGGAAAAAGUUCUCUCUCUAUUGAUGCUUUAGCCAAAGCUAAGAAGGCUUUGCAAAUCCAGAAAGAGUUGUCUGAGAAAUUGAAGAAGUUGCCACAGUUGAGUAAACCUACUGUUUCAAGUCCAACUGGAACCACACAGGCAACACAAGCUGCUCCUUCAAUGACCAAAACACCAACAUUGACAACCCCAAGUCCCUCGACAAUGGGGACAUCAGCUUUACCAGUAACCACCAUACCUUCUGUGAACCCUGCAUCCACGUCCAUGGCAGGCAUUUCGGGGCUUACAAACAUUCCAAAUUAUGAAGCUGUAAAACGAGCACAAGAACUUGCAGCUAAGUUAGGGUUUCACCAAGACCCUGAAUUUGCCCCUCUUAUCAAUAUGUUUCCUGGACAGGCUGCUGAUGUUUCUGCGCCUCAGAGGCCUGCAAAGGCUCCUGUACUGCGUCUUGAUGCUCUUGGAAGAGAAAUUGAUGAACAUGGAAAUGUUAUAAACAUGCCUAAGCCAACCAAUCUCAGCACUUUGAAGGUCAACAUUAAUAAACAGAAGAAGGAAGCAUUCCAAAUCCUCCGGCCCGAUUUGGAUGCAGAUGGAGAAAAUAAUCCCUAUUUUGAUGAGACUAUGGGGAUCAACAAAACAAAGCUUUUAAGGCCUAAGAGGAUGAGCUUUCAGUUUGUUGAGGAAGGCAAAUGGUCAAAACAAGCAGAAAUAAUAAAAUUUAAGAGUCAAUUUGGAGAAGCACAGGCCAAGGAGCUAAGAACUAAGCAAGCCCAGCUGGCAAAGGCAAAGGCUGAACUUGAUAUCAACCCAAAUUUGAUCGAGGUUUCAGAGAGAAUUCCCAUUAAGGAAGAGAAACCGAAGGACCCCAUCCCCGACAUUGAGUGGUGGGAUGCAGUUCUGUUGCCUUCUGGGAGCUACAGUGAUGUCACAGGAGAUAAAUUCAACAUCAGAAUGGAUAAAAUCACUUGCUAUGUUGAGCAUCCCCUUCCUAUAGAGCCUCCUGCUGAGCCUGCCCCACCCCCUCCACAACCCUUGAAGCUGACCAAGAAAGAGCAAAAGAAGCUUCGGACUCAGAGGCGCCUUGCUAGGGAAAAAGAGAGGCAAGAGAUGAUAAGGCAAGGUCUGAUAGAGCCCCCAAAGCCCAAGAUCAAGAUGAGCAAUUUAAUGAAGGUUCUUGGCUCUGAAGCAACUCAAGAUCCCACGAAGCUUGAAAUGGAGAUAAGGAGUGCUGCUGCAGAGCGUGAACAGGCCCAUGUAGACAGAAACAUUGCCCGUAAGCUUACGCCUGUGGAACGCAGAGAGAAGAAAGAGAGGAAGCUUUUCGAUGAUCCAAAUACAUUCGAGACCAUAGUCUCUGUGUACAAGAUGAACGACCUCUCUCAUAAGCAAACUCGCUUCAAAGUGGAUAUCAAUGCUCAAGAGAAUAGGCUUACAGGUUGUGCUGUGAUUUUCGAUGGGUUUAGUGUGGUGGUUGUAGAAGGGGGGAGCAAGUCUAUCAAAAGGUAUGGUAAGCUAAUGCUUAGAAGGAUCAAUUGGGCAGCUGCUGUUUCGAAUGAAGAGGAGGGGGAUGAUAAAGAGGAUGCUCCUGUCAACAAAUGCUUGCUAGUUUGGCAGGGGAGCGUUGCCAAACCGAGUUUUAAUAGAUUUUUUUUCCAUGAGUGCCGAACUGAAGCGGCUGCCCGUAAAGUUUUUGCUGAUGCUGGGGUUGCCCACUAUUGGGAUCUGGCUGCAAAUUUCACCGAAGAAGAUAUAUAAGCCGGGUUCUCUUGAUUAAUGGAUAUUUUUACCUAGUCAUUUGGGAUUCAAUUAUGUUGGAGCUGGACCUCUGCAUCUUCUACAAUGGGCUUAUCUGGUGUUAGCUGAAGGCGAAGUCCUUGGGGUUAGAGGCAAGGAGAUCUAUUUGAGGUUUAAAUACCAUUGCAAUUCUGCAGGGGUUUGUUAUUAGAGUGAAACCAUUUGGUCUUUUGGCUUUAUUCAUGGCAUGGUUAUAUGGGGCAUUGUUUUGUAAGGCUGGUUCUCGCUGAAUGGACAUAAUUUGAAAGAUGGAGCACAAAGAUGCUUUCGUUACCAAGGAGUCGAUGAGAUCAAAUUGAACAUAUACUGAUGCAAAACAAACAACAGUAUGCAUGCAGUACUAUCCUCCCACUUGAGAGUUGGUAUGGUGUUGAUACAGUAAUUUCUUUUAAGUUGGUAUGGUGUUGAUUGGAAUUUUAAUUUUAAUCUUUUGUGUCUCUUUACGAGUAACUAUUUAUCGUUGAAGUUGUACAGGUGCCACACCAUCACUUGUUAAUGCAAUAUUUUAUGAAUUAUACACUAUCUAUGAUUGUCUCAUCUUAGGAUUGGGGCAGUCGGCGGGGGACUGGAGAAUUCAAAAUUA